Molecule: ribosomal RNA, 588 nt
Filed under: uncultured bacterium
Lineage: Bacteria
Description: bacterial SSU rRNA
Rfam family: Bacterial small subunit ribosomal RNA
Source: RNAcentral
ACUCCUACGGGAGGCAGCAGUGGGGAAUUUUGGACAAUGGGCGCAAGCCUGAUCCAGCAAUGCCGCGUGCAGGAAGAAGGCCUUCGGGUUGUAAACUGCUUUUGUCAGGGAAGAAAUCUUCUGGGCUAAUACCCCGGGAGGAUGACGGUACCUGAAGAAUAAGCACCGGCUAACUACGUGCCAGCAGCCGCGGUAAUACGUAGGGUGCGAGCGUUAAUCGGAAUUACUGGGCGUAAAGCGUGCGCAGGCGGCUUUGCAAGACAGAUGUGAAAUCCCCGGGCUCAACCUGGGAACUGCAUUUGUGACUGCAAGGCUAGAGUACGGCAGAGGGGGAUGGAAUUCCGCGUGUAGCAGUGAAAUGCGUAGAUAUGCGGAGGAACACCAAUGGCGAAGGCAAUCCCCUGGGCCUGUACUGACGCUCAUGCACGAAAGCGUGGGGAGCAAACAGGAUUAGAUACCCUGGUAGUCCACGCCCUAAACGAUGUCAACUGGUUGUUGGACGGCUUGCUGUUCAGUAACGAAGCUAACGCGUGAAGUUGACCGCCUGGGGAGUACGGCCGCAAGGUUGAAACUGAAAGGAAUUGACGG